RNAcentral lists this ribosomal RNA (253 nucleotides) under uncultured bacterium. RNAcentral describes it as "partial 16S ribosomal RNA". It matches the Rfam family "Bacterial small subunit ribosomal RNA", at positions 524 to 776 of the family's 1533-position model. The record is from RNAcentral.
AACGUAGGUUCCGAGCGUUAUCCGGAGUUACUGGGCGUAAAGGGCAUGCAGGCGGUCCGACGCGUUUUGUGUGACAGCGGGUGGCUUAACUACCCGAGCAUGCGAAAGACGGUUGGACUUGAGGACUCGAGAGGGACACGGAAUUCCGGGUGGAGUGGUGAAAUGCGUAGAGAUCCGGAGGAACACCGAAGGCGAAGGCAGUGUCCUGGCGAGUGACUGACGCUGAGGUGCGAAAGCCAGGGGAGCGAACGGG